This is a long non-coding RNA of Sander lucioperca (pikeperch), 137 nucleotides long. RefSeq lists it as uncharacterized. The record is from RefSeq and is a predicted model, not a curated record. The transcript is spliced from 3 exons. Lineage: Eukaryota; Metazoa; Chordata; Actinopteri; Perciformes; Percidae.
UUUAAAUGCACUGAACACGGUUCCCUGCAUAAGACACAACAAUCUGACAGCAAGUCACAUGUUUGCCAUUUCAAAUCACUGCCAUUCAAAAUGACACUACAUGAGCUGAUUGGCCAAUAUAUUGUAUGUGCCACCUG